AAACUACUUUUACUUCAAUGUAGAGCUGAGAUUUCGAAACCCUAGUUUCUGAUGGAACAGGAAGGUGAGUAAAGUUGUUCUAAACCAAAGUUUUCCCAGAUUGCAAGGGUUCUUUGAGUGGCUUUUUCGACUUUAGUAGUAACAAAUUGGAAAACAGAGGUUUCUCUCUGUUUCUACUUCUUGCUUCAAAUGGAAAAAUCACUAUCCGAACGACGCCGUUUUAUUAAAAAAUGAUUCGUUAGAGAAAGGCCCACGAAAACAAAUGGGCCUAAAUUUUGGUCCAUUCUAGAUAGUUUUAAUAUGACAGUAUUGUCCUGAAGAAUAGUUUCACAGCGACGAGUCGCGAUGGGGUAUAAUAGUAACUUCAAUUGUUUAGUCCGGCCAGAUCGUCGUCGUCUUCUCGCCGGGAAAUUUCAAAACGUUAAUCAACAGUCAAAUCAAUCUAACAUUCUCCGACGUGUUCUCACUGUAAGUAGAAAAAUCUCUCACUGAAGAGAUUCGAUUUCGCCAUCUUUAUAUCUCGGACGCUGCGUGACAGCGAGGUCUCUCAAUUGGAGAAGGAUCUAUUAGAUACCUCUGUUUGGUUUCUGUAAAAUUGAUAGCUGAGCAUAGUAGCAUGUUUGGGUUUAAUCUUCACAUUAAUUUGCCUUUAAUCUUCACAUAAAUUACACACGAUUCCUCCUAGCAUAGUAGCAUGUUUGGGUUUUGUUCUUCUUGCUUGUUACACUUUAACUUGUUCAUACAACAAUAACAUUAAGGAAGCUGGUUCUUGUUUGUUAAACUGGUCAAACACUCUGCUUAGUAUCUAGUUGUUGUUAACUUUGGUUUCUGAACCUCUUUCAUUGGGAGAUGGUCCAAAGUAGUAAUACAGUCUCCUCCACCUUUGCCAUGUCCCUAUAAUGGUAUUAUAUGUGGAAGGAGCUCCAAGGUACGUAUGUCUUCUCUGUACUCUUUAGUGCACCAAAUAUGAUUCACUUUACUUUACUUACAUAUGCAUAUCUGCUGCAACCAAUCGAAUGCUUACUUACAUAUUUACAUAUUUGCAAUAAGUAAAUUCAGUUAGAUGUUCAACAGUCCUUGAGCUUGACUCAAAUUUGACUAGAUCUCCAUCCUGUUACUUUGAUAAGUCGGAAGUGUGAGCAUAAAUAAUAUUCUGCAGCAUUAAAUUGGAAAACGGGAAUAGUUUAGUGAAUAAUCUUGUGCGCUAAAAGUUUGAUUUUUGUCUCCAGGAAAGACACCAGAUAAAGGUCUUAUGUCACGUUAUCAUCACAGCCAGGACAUGGCAAAUGCAAGAUCAGUCCAGUGAUGGAACCGCCACAGUAGCAAUCUUCAGGAUUCUCAUUCUCAGAAGCCCUCAUGCACAGCUACUUGCCAUCGUUCUCGGCGCUUCUUCAGUUUUUAUCUGCUCAGUCUUAUGUCAUCCACCCAUCUGAUUACACAUCUCUUCAACAUCACCACCAUUUCAUGAACCACCAACGAGCUCUACCAUAGCUUCCUUUGCCAAACUUCAAGGUUCCUAAACAGCCCUGAAGUUGGACAUAACUUGGACAGUUGGACCCUUAUUGUGGAAGGCCAAUAUGAUGAUCAACUGCAACAUCUUGCUAUUGUUUGGUUCUCUUUUCUUAUUUUGAUUUGUAAGUUUGUAACCAGAAGUUGUGCCAACAACAAGAUACAAAUCCAAACCCAUUUGUCACUAUACUUUAAUGUCAUUUGAUUUACUCCACCGAACAAUGUAAGUGCUAUUUGUUGAAGACUUUUUCGGACC
This is a non-coding RNA of Camelina sativa (false flax), 1765 nucleotides long. Lineage: Eukaryota; Viridiplantae; Streptophyta; Magnoliopsida; Brassicales; Brassicaceae. The record is from RefSeq and is a predicted model, not a curated record.